CGUUCCAUGGCCAAACUGGUCAAGACAUCGCCGCUCGGCCGGCGAAGAUGCGGGUUUGAAUCCCGUUAGAACCA
Molecule: transfer RNA, 74 nt
Filed under: Operophtera brumata (winter moth)
Lineage: Eukaryota; Metazoa; Arthropoda; Insecta; Lepidoptera; Geometridae
Rfam family: tRNA
About the family: Transfer RNA (tRNA) molecules are approximately 80 nucleotides in length.
Source: Rfam by way of RNAcentral